UACGAAGGGUGCAAACGUUUAUUCGGAAUCACUGGGCGUAAAGGGUGCGUAGACGGCAUGUUAAGUUCGUUGUUAAAGGCUCCGGCCUAACCGGAGUACCGCGAUGAAAACUGGCGUACUAGAGGGUGAGAGAGAGAAGUGGAAUUCCUGGAGUAGCGGUAAAAUGCGUGGAUCUCGGGAGGAACACCAAUGGCGAAGGCAGCUUCUUGGCUCAUUCCUGACGUUGAGGCACGAAAGCGUGGGGAGCAAACAGG
This 254-nucleotide ribosomal RNA is filed under the name uncultured bacterium. RNAcentral describes it as "partial 16S ribosomal RNA". It matches the Rfam family "Bacterial small subunit ribosomal RNA", at positions 524 to 776 of the family's 1533-position model. The record is from RNAcentral.